GGCUAGUCCAAGUACAGUGGUGUCUAUAGCUAAUUGAUCACAACAAGUUACAGAUUCCUUUGUUCCUUCCCACUCUGAUUGCUUCACUUUACUAGCCUUAA
Unclassified non-coding RNA from Otolemur garnettii (small-eared galago), 101 nucleotides. It matches the Rfam family "Y RNA". From Rfam's summary of the family: Y RNAs are components of the Ro ribonucleoprotein particle (Ro RNP), in association with Ro60 and La proteins. The Y RNAs and Ro60 and La proteins are well conserved, but the function of the Ro RNP is not known. The record is from Ensembl. Lineage: Eukaryota; Metazoa; Chordata; Mammalia; Primates; Galagidae.